AUUUAAAUAGCUUAAAUUAGAGUUUAAUAUUGAAGAUAUUAAGGUGAUAUUAUUAUAUCUUUAUAUA
This 67-nucleotide transfer RNA is filed under the name Plebejus argus. Its description in RNAcentral is "tRNA-Phe". Lineage: Eukaryota; Metazoa; Arthropoda; Insecta; Lepidoptera; Lycaenidae. The record is from RNAcentral.